AACCUACGGGCGGCUGCAGUGGGGAAUUUUGGACAAUGGGCGAAAGCCUGAUCCAGCCAUGCCGCGUGCAGGAUGAAGGCCUUCGGGUUGUAAACUGCUUUUGUACGGAACGAAAAGACUCUUUCUAAUAAAGAGGGUCCAUGACGGUACCGUAAGAAUAAGCACCGGCUAACUACGUGCCAGCAGCCGCGGUAAUACGUAGGGUGCAAGCGUUAAUCGGAAUUACUGGGCGUAAAGCGUGCGCAGGCGGGUAUGUAAGACAGAGGUGAAAUCCCCGGGCUCAACCUGGGAACUGCAGUUGUGACUGCAUAGCUAGAGUACGGUAGAGGGGGAUGGAAUUCCGCGUGUAGCAGUGAAAUGCGUAGAUAUGCGGAGGAACACCGAUGGCGAAGGCAAUCCCCUGGACCUGUACUGACGCUCAUGCACGAAAGCGUGGGGAGCAAACAGGAUUAGAUACCCUGUAGUCGU
RNAcentral lists this ribosomal RNA (468 nucleotides) under uncultured Comamonas sp. Its description in RNAcentral is "bacterial SSU rRNA". It matches the Rfam family "Bacterial small subunit ribosomal RNA", at positions 335 to 794 of the family's 1533-position model. The record is from RNAcentral. Lineage: Bacteria; Pseudomonadati; Pseudomonadota; Betaproteobacteria; Burkholderiales; Comamonadaceae.